UCGCACCUACCGAUUGAAUGGUCCGGUGAAGACUCGGGAUUGUGACUGGUGCCUUUAUUGGUGUUGGUCGCGAGAACUUGUCUAAACCUUAUCAUCUAGAGGAAGGUG
This 108-nucleotide ribosomal RNA is filed under the name uncultured eukaryote. Its description in RNAcentral is "partial small subunit ribosomal RNA". It matches the Rfam family "Eukaryotic small subunit ribosomal RNA", at positions 1676 to 1785 of the family's 1831-position model. The record is from RNAcentral.